UGGGGUGGAGGUGGUUUGGUUGGAGGUGGUCUGGGGUGGGAUGGUCUGAGGUUGGAGGUGGUCUGGUGUUGGAGAUGGUAUGGGGUGGGGUGGUCUCGGGUGGAGGUGGUUUGGGGUGGAGUGGUCUGGGGUGGGAUGGGCUGGGGUGGAGGUGGUUUGGUUGGAGGUGGUCUGGUGUUGGAGAUGGUAUGGACGACAGUGGGCGAAGUUCCGAGAAGCCCCUUCCCUGAGGCUCCCACUCCUGUGGGAAGAUGGAAGUGGCCCGGGCCGGUGGGGGAGCCCGGCGGGAUGCCAGGGCUGCCCGAGUUCCAAACACACCAGGACGGAGCCUGUUUGAGCCUGGAGCCCUCUGCAUUGCUCUGCUGCAGGCUAUAAAGCAAAAUGCAAAACGCAACGUGCAUCCCGUCCAGUUCACGUAUUUCUACCAUGUUUGGGUGUUUUUAAGGGUCCCGCUUCAUUUUUAUCCUAAAGCCAGUGGCAGCCACUCAAUCUUUGGAGACUGGGGCUGUCGCCUGCAUCCGCGGUUGGAGUUUGCCAGACACCUGGCGCCUUGGGCCACCUCUGGGCUCCAGAACCUGCAACCCUGGGCACACGGCUCUCCCGCCGUCUUGCCACAGUGCCCCCUGGCGGCCCUGCUGAGUCAAGCCGGCUUCCUGUCUUCCCAGACUGGGCUCUUCCCUGAAACCCGGGAGGGAAAGGUGAGACUUUCAGCCCCUCUGCCCAGAGCUGCUCAGGAUGGCUUGGAGCCCUGCACGUAUUUGGCAAAUAUUUACUGUGUGUGCACUAUGUGCCUGGCACUGUCAUUGAACCAGAGGGUAGAACAAUGACCAAAACCAGGUACACCUGUUCUCAGGGCUCCAACCUUCUGGGGAGGGAUGGACACAGCAAAGGGGUGUCUGUGAGGUGACACAGUGAAGGGGCGUCUGUGAGGUGACACGUCGAAGGAACGCAAGCAAGGAGACGGAAAGAGGGAGCUGCUAGUUUACACGGGCGCUGGCGAACAUAAACGUUUGUGUUUAAGUACAAAGAAAAUGGUUGCAGCUGUGCAGGCCUCGGGGGUUCACAC
Molecule: long non-coding RNA, 1066 nt
Filed under: Homo sapiens (human)
Lineage: Eukaryota; Metazoa; Chordata; Mammalia; Primates; Hominidae
Description: non-protein coding lnc-KRTAP5-4-2:1
Source: RNAcentral